RNAcentral lists this ribosomal RNA (335 nucleotides) under Staphylococcus aureus. RNAcentral describes it as "partial 23S ribosomal RNA". It matches the Rfam family "Bacterial large subunit ribosomal RNA", at positions 2595 to 2925 of the family's 2925-position model. The record is from RNAcentral. Lineage: Bacteria; Bacillati; Bacillota; Bacilli; Caryophanales; Staphylococcaceae.
GGUACGUGAGCUGGGUUUAAAACGUCGUGAGACAGUUUGGUCCCUAUCUUCCGUGGGCGCUGCAGAUUUGAGGAAGCCUGCUCCUAGUACGAGAGGACCGGAGUGGACACACCUCUGGUGUAUCGGUUGUCACGCCAGUGGCAUUGCCGAGUAGCUAAGUGUGGAAGAGAUAACCGCUGAAAGCAUCUAAGCGGGAAACUCGUUUCAAGAUGAGAUCUGCCGGGGCCUUGAGCCCCCUGAAGAGUCGUUCAAGACCAGGACGUUGAUAGGCUGGGUGUGGAAGCGCAGUAAUGCGUUAAGCUAACCAGUACUAAUUGCUCGUGAGGCUUGACCCU